This 69-nucleotide transfer RNA is filed under the name Phytophthora infestans (potato late blight agent). RNAcentral's name for it is "tRNA-Pro". The stretch from base 4 to 60 matches the Rfam family "tRNA", at positions 8 to 63 of the family's 71-position model. Rfam says of the family: Transfer RNA (tRNA) molecules are approximately 80 nucleotides in length. The record is from RNAcentral. Lineage: Eukaryota; Oomycota; Peronosporomycetes; Peronosporales; Peronosporaceae.
UUUUAGCUCAGUGGUCGAGCGCUUGUUUUGGAAGCCACAGGUCGGUGGCUCAAAUCCACCCGGGCGCAG